UCCCUGGUGGCUCAGAGGUUAAAGCGUCUGCCUGCAAUGCAGGAAACCCGGGUUUGAUCCCUGGGUCGGGAA
RNAcentral lists this transfer RNA (72 nucleotides) under Ovis aries (sheep). It matches the Rfam family "tRNA". Rfam says of the family: Transfer RNA (tRNA) molecules are approximately 80 nucleotides in length. The record is from Rfam by way of RNAcentral. Lineage: Eukaryota; Metazoa; Chordata; Mammalia; Artiodactyla; Bovidae.